UUGGCAGUUCCAAGACUUUUUAGAGAAUAUUCACAGAAUCACAGAAUUGUAGGUGUUGGAAGGGACCUCAAGAGGUCAUCGGGUCCAACCCCCAUAUUGUUUCAUUGCAUAUCAAAACAUUUGAUAGGAGAAGCACCAUCAUACUAAACAUUCUGACAAUAUAAUUGUCUGCAAUCAAACAGCCUGCUGGAGGAAAAAGGGAUCUGAAUUUUGAGUAAUUAAAAAGAUGGUUAUCUAAUCCCUCAAGAGCACUUAAGGACAGUAAGACUAUGAAGAGACAGAGAACAACAACUGAAGUUCCACCGCAAGCUAAAAACAGCCAUGAGAGGGUGAAAAUACCAGAUAAUACUGAAAGCAUUUUCUUAGAAAAUGAAGACACGGGAUCAACUUUUUGA
This 395-nucleotide long non-coding RNA is filed under the name Anser brachyrhynchus (Pink-footed goose). RNAcentral describes it as "lncRNA (ENSABRG00000002013.1)". Lineage: Eukaryota; Metazoa; Chordata; Aves; Anseriformes; Anatidae. The record is from RNAcentral.